AGGGCCCAACCCGCACCCGCCCGCUCACGCGCACCCCGCGGCGGCGGGAGGCGGCCGCGAUCCGGGAACGGAGCUGCGCGGGGGGCGGGGCGGGGCGGCACAGCCCGCUCCCGCCGGGGAAGGGCUAAAGCGGGCCGGGAGCUCCUCCCGGAGCUUUUAAACAGCGAGAAGGGAGCCACGAGGAAGGCCGGGCGCUUCCAGGAUCUUGGCCGAAGCAUCGGGGCCGAGAGCGGGUCGCGCCGUUCGAACGCGGCCGCCCCGCGCCACGCCGACCUCCUCGGCCGCCCCCCUCUUUGUCGCGGCGUUGGGCACAUCAGGGUGUUUCUGUGUGUGUUUUGUAACAUCAGCAACACAAUCAGAUCCCAGACAUUACUAUUUAUUGCUUGGUGAGGAUGACACAGCCUUCACAGAACUGUCUGUUUGCAUCUCAUCAGCCUGAACAAGCCUGUUGGAGAACAGAAGCAGCUCUGGACUGGCUGCAACUGCAACAAGCAGACUGAGGGGAAGAGGUGGAGAAAGGCAAACCCUGGGAAUAAAUUCAGCAGAGAAAACUGGGAUAACA
RNAcentral lists this long non-coding RNA (562 nucleotides) under Phasianus colchicus (ring-necked pheasant). RNAcentral's name for it is "lncRNA (ENSPCLG00000020029.1)". The record is from RNAcentral. Lineage: Eukaryota; Metazoa; Chordata; Aves; Galliformes; Phasianidae.